CUACGGGUUGCUGCAGGCGAGAAAACUUUGCAAUGUGCGAAAGCACGACAAGGUUAAUCCGAGUGGUUUGUGCUAAACGAACCUUUUGACAGUCCUAGAAACACUGUUGAAUAAGGGGUGGGCAAGUUCUGGUGUCAGCCGCCGCGGUAAAACCAGCACCUCAAGUGGUCAGGAUGAUUAUUGGGCCUAAAGCAUCCGUAGCCGGCUCUGUAAGUUUUCGGUUAAAUCUGUACGCUCAACGUACAGGCUGCCGGGAAUACUGCAGAGCUAGGGAGUGGGAGAGGUAGACGGUACUCGGUAGGAAGGGGUAAAAUCCUUUGAUCUAUUGAUGACCACCUGCGGCGAAGGCGGUCUACCAGAACACGUCCGACGGUGAGGGAUGAAAGCUGGGGGAGCAAACCGGAUUAGAUACCCCGGUAGUC
RNAcentral lists this ribosomal RNA (422 nucleotides) under uncultured archaeon. Its description in RNAcentral is "partial 16S ribosomal RNA". It matches the Rfam family "Archaeal small subunit ribosomal RNA", at positions 323 to 746 of the family's 1478-position model. The record is from RNAcentral.